GAUACGUACGAAGCAGUGCACCCUCCUAUCUUGUACCAGUACAAGCGCAGAGCCCAAAAGGAGUGACAGAAGGACAGUCUGAGUUUGGCCCAUGAGUGUUGGUACUCAUUGAGUGAUGCUUUAUGGAUAAGGAAUAAAAGAAUAACGGUAUUAUGCUGAGUCAUCGACAGAGCACGUGAUCUUGUUGGUCAGGUGAAGAGCAUGAGGAGGUCAUCAACCAUACGGAGAGUAGUAUAAGUAGAGAGAGGGGAGAAUAGAAAUGGGUAUCAGUUGUAUUGUCAAUCUUGUUCAUGAAGGAGAGUGAGUAAACUCCAAAGAAAAACUCGCUGUACUUCGUUCAUUGAUUAAUACAACGUUCGUUCUUCC
This 366-nucleotide long non-coding RNA is filed under the name Brassica napus (rape). RNAcentral describes it as "long non-coding RNA (BNAP_LNC002581)". The record is from RNAcentral. Lineage: Eukaryota; Viridiplantae; Streptophyta; Magnoliopsida; Brassicales; Brassicaceae.